RNAcentral lists this non-coding RNA (114 nucleotides) under Fragilariopsis kerguelensis. The record is from RNAcentral. Lineage: Eukaryota; Bacillariophyta; Bacillariophyceae; Bacillariales; Bacillariaceae.
GCUAAAAAGGCAGAAAGAAAAAGAGAAGUUACAGGAUUCAUCAUCAUUCUCAUCCUCAUCAUAUCAAUAUAUGUUAUGAUGGAUUUUUUUCUGUAUUUUUGUUGUACUUUUUAU